UAAGGAAUAUUGGUCAAUGGACGCAAGUCUGAACCAGCCAUGCCGCGUGGAGGAUGAAGGUCCUCUGGAUUGUAAACUUCUUUUAUCUGGGAAGAAACCCCUUUUUUCCAAGAGGGUUGACGGUACCAGAUGAAUAAGCACCGGCUAACUCCGUGCCAGCAGCCGCGGUAAUACGGAGGGUGCAAGCGUUAUCCGGAUUCACUGGGUUUAAAGGGUGCGUAGGAGGGCAGGUAAGUCCGUGGUGAAAUCUCUGAGCUUAACUCAGAAACUGCCGUGGAUACUACCGGUCUUGAAUAUCGUGGAGGUGAGCGGAAUAUGUCAUGUAGCGGUGAAAUGCUUAGAUAUGACAUAGAACACCAAUUGCGAAGGCAGCUCACUACCCGAAUAUUGACUCUGAGGCACGAAAGCGUGGGGAUCAAACA
This 422-nucleotide ribosomal RNA is filed under the name uncultured Flavisolibacter sp. RNAcentral describes it as "bacterial SSU rRNA". It matches the Rfam family "Bacterial small subunit ribosomal RNA", at positions 355 to 774 of the family's 1533-position model. Lineage: Bacteria; Pseudomonadati; Bacteroidota; Chitinophagia; Chitinophagales; Chitinophagaceae. The record is from RNAcentral.